This 1441-nucleotide long non-coding RNA is filed under the name Macaca mulatta (Rhesus monkey). RNAcentral's name for it is "lncRNA (ENSMMUG00000038152.2)". The record is from RNAcentral. Lineage: Eukaryota; Metazoa; Chordata; Mammalia; Primates; Cercopithecidae.
CUAAAAUCAUAAGUGCCUCUGGAGCUGCAAAUGGUAAUAAGAAGAGAAAUAAAAGAAUCAAUGUUCAGCGCUAUUGGGAAACAGACUUUCAUUAUAAGGGGAUCUAUUCUAUUUAUGGUAUCUGAUAACAUGGAUUUUACAAGUUAAUUUAUUUGCCUUUAUUCUUCUCUAUGUGCAAGAGCUACACAAAUCUCCCCUGCACUCUAAAGCACUGUUUGCUUCAAACAUCCACAGCAGCACAAUCCAGAAAGUCUCAUGUAAUCCAAAUGUGGUUGCCUUGUCUUGUACUCAAGAUCCUAAGACAAGAUACAUAGAGAAAUGUUUCCCUGAGGAUUUAGAAUUACCACUUGUGUUGCACCAAGAACUACAUGUAGAAUCCCAGUGAUAAAGAGACCCAUCUGUUUUUUAAUACAUUUUUUUUUUUCAUGGUUUUGUCAUAUCCAGGGCCCUCUGAAGUGUGGAGCCCAGGGCAGGGACCAGCCUUGCCUGAGUCUGAAAGAAAAUAUUGACUGGGUCAUUUGGAUUUUUCUUCUUACGAUUUUGGAAUUUAGAACUAAGGUUGUUGGGAGCUGAGCCAUGUUCAUAGCAGAGGAAUGGAACUUCCCUUUGUGGAAGUUCCUGGAUCUUCCAGAGCCUGGGGAGUUUUCCUCUUCCUUGGAUUCCAGGAGAUAUGAGAGGAGGAAGCUGUGCUGUGAAGGAUCCUUUUUCAUCAUGAUUAUUGCAUCUACAGGAGCAGUGAUAAAUUCUAAUAGAUAAUGCAACUCAGUCUACUUGGAUGUUCACCCCUGAGACUGGAGAAGACCUGCUGCCUUCUGCAGAGCCAAACAUUCCUCACAUGCUCCUUCACAAUGCUGCAAGCCAUAUUUAUUCAUUUAAAAGCUAGUUCCUCGCUGUUUCUUGUACAUUAAUUCUUUUAAAACUUUUACAAAACAAACUAAAUUUAAAGAGGAAAUUAUUUACUGUAGAACUAAUGGCCUGAAAAUAGUUGUCCAACAUAGCAUUGCACAUAGCAACAGGAAGUAGUUUAUGUACGAGGAAGUCUCUUUCAAACGUGCUUGGAUAUUGACAAAAUUCUCUGCCUUAUAAACGAAGGAGUUCUUUUUUAUAUAUUUUAGAGCCAAUGCAGCAAGAAUAGUCUUAUAUAGACUAUAAGCUCCUGGAACACUGUGUCUACAUUGCUCACUGCAGUGUCCCAACAUCUAAGACCAUGGUCUUAGAUGUCUGGUAUAGGACUGGUGCUCAGUAUGCACUGAAUGAAUAAAUGAAUGAAUAUAGCAAAGCAUUCCAUGAUGUUCUCUUGAAUUCAUUUAUUCUUUGAAAUUUGUUUCUUUGUUUGUUUGUUUUGGUGCAGUGGUUAUGUACUACUAGGAGUAUGAUAUGUGUUCUUCAAUAAAUCUCUUCAAAUUAUAAUAAAGAUUUAGUGCUAACCUUCUGCUCACUA